This 301-nucleotide ribosomal RNA is filed under the name uncultured soil bacterium. Its description in RNAcentral is "bacterial SSU rRNA". It matches the Rfam family "Bacterial small subunit ribosomal RNA", at positions 26 to 356 of the family's 1533-position model. The record is from RNAcentral.
AGAACGAACGCUGGCGGCAUGCCUAAUACAUGCAAGUCGAACGAAGGCUUCGGCCUUAGUGGCGCACGGGUGCGUAACGCGUGGGAAUCUGCCCCUUGGUUCGGAAUAACAGUUGGAAACGACUGCUAAUACCGGAUGAUGACGAAAGUCCAAAGAUUUAUCGCCAAGGGAUGAGCCCGCGUAGGAUUAGCUAGUUGGUGAGGUAAAGGCUCACCAAGGCGACGAUCCUUAGCUGGUCUGAGAGGAUGAUCAGCCACACUGGGACUGAGACACGGCCCAGACUCCUACGGGAGCAGCAGUA